CGAGCGAGCUUGCCUAGAUGAUUUUAGUGCUUGCACUAAAAUGAAACUAGAUACAAGCGUAGCGGCGACGGGUGAGUAACAACGUGGGUAACCUGCCCAAGAGACUGGGAUAACACCUGGAAACAGAUGCUAAUACCGGGAUAACAACACGUAGACGCAUGUCUAGAGUUUGAAAGAUGGUUCUGCUAUCACUCUUGGGAUGGGACCUGCGGUGCAUUAGCUAGUUGGUAAGGUAACGGCUUACCAAGGCAAUGAUGGCAGUAGCCCGAGUUGAGAGACUGAUCGGCCACAUUGGGACUGAGACACGGCCCAAACUCCUACGGGAGGCAGCAGUACGGGAAUCUUCCACAAUGGACGAAAGUCUGAUGGAGCAACGCCGCGUGAGUGAAGAAGGGUUUCGGCUCGUAAAGCUCUGUUGGUUAGUGAAGAAAGAUAGAGGUAGUAAACUAGGACCUUUAUUUGACGGUAAUUACUUAGAAAAGUCACGGCUAACUACGUGCCAGCAGCCGCGGUAA
RNAcentral lists this ribosomal RNA (515 nucleotides) under uncultured bacterium. Its description in RNAcentral is "bacterial SSU rRNA". It matches the Rfam family "Bacterial small subunit ribosomal RNA", at positions 63 to 523 of the family's 1533-position model. The record is from RNAcentral.